CCUAGAUGGACCUGGCACCCAGACCACUUCAUUGAGCUGAAGUGGUCUGGGUGCCUAUAGUGGUGCUUUAAGCAAUUUCAGCUUUCAGGUCAUUUUUGUGUAAAUUGAGUCAUCUUCAUUCCCUUUAAUGCAGGUUGCCAUCUACUUCAUUUCUUCUCUGGCCAUAUUAAAUCCUAUGCUAUCAACCCAUUCCAGUAGGUAUGAUAGUAAAGUUCGGCCAAGUCUUUAUCCAUCCGUUCAACAUCAUGACUCUAUAAUUAUACACUUAGUGGCAAGUAUAAAUUAUCUGACAUGAAGGGGCAUGGAUAUCAGCUCAGACAUCAUAGAACCCCAAGCGAUCACCAUUAUAGUAGUUACAAAAAG
Pelobates cultripes (western spadefoot toad) is the source of this 363-nucleotide non-coding RNA. Lineage: Eukaryota; Metazoa; Chordata; Amphibia; Anura; Pelobatidae. The record is from the annotation of a GenBank genome assembly.